ACUCCUGCGGGAGGCAGCAGUGGGGAAUUUUGGACAAUGGGCGAAAGCCUGAUCCAGCAAUGCCGCGUGAGUGAAGAAGGCCUUCGGGUUGUAAAGCUCUUUUGUCAGGGAAGAAACGGUGAGAGCUAAUAUCUCUUGCUAAUGACGGUACCUGAAGAAUAAGCACCGGCUAACUACGUGCCAGCAGCCGCGGUAAUACGUAGGGUGCAAGCGUUAAUCGGAAUUACUGGGCGUAAAGCGUGCGCAGGCGGUUUUGUAAGUCUGAUGUGAAAUCCCCGGGCUCAACCUGGGAAUUGCAUUGGAGACUGAAAGGCUAGAAUCUGGCAGAGGGGGGUAGAAUUCCACGUGUAGCAGUGAAAUGCGUAGAUAUGUGGAGGAACACCGAUGGCGAAGGCAGCCCCCUGGGUCAAGAUUGACGCUCAUGCACGAAAGCGUGGGGAGCAAACAGGAUUAGAUACCCUUGUAGUCCC
Molecule: ribosomal RNA, 470 nt
Filed under: uncultured organism
Description: partial 16S ribosomal RNA
Rfam family: Bacterial small subunit ribosomal RNA
Source: RNAcentral